RNAcentral lists this long non-coding RNA (495 nucleotides) under Pelusios castaneus (West African mud turtle). RNAcentral describes it as "lncRNA (ENSPCEG00000009963.1)". Lineage: Eukaryota; Metazoa; Chordata; Testudines; Pelomedusidae. The record is from RNAcentral.
AGGCUGAAAGUUAUUUUGGAGGAAAUUACACAUGACUGAAAUACGGCUGACGAGUUACCCACCAUAGCAACUGCUGAGGGCUGAUUAACCCUUUCUGGGAUGCCACAGGCCCAGGCCCUCCUUGCUACGGAUGACCCCCCAACCCAGCAGAUGCUUGGGCACAGAGUGCUCAGUGGUGGUUCAGCACAGAGGGAACCAGGGAUGCUGCAGCCAGAGGACUGGACAAGUCGAUCAUGGGGCACUGGGUGGAGCUCCAAGAUGGAGCAGGAGCUGGGCACAGGGGGUGGAGAGACGAUAGAUGCUACUGUGGACACUGGGCAGCUAUAAUCUCUGUGUAGUAGCUCUGCAGCAACACCACUGCCUGAAGAACAGGAUUCCUUCCUACUGUCCCUCACCCCGCUGUCUGGCACCCAGCUAGCGCUUUGGAGGUACAUAGUUGGAUAUUAUGAUCUUACAAAUGCAUCUGUGUGUGUUGCUUAAGGGUAUGCCAGGUUU